GACGAACGCUGGCGGCGUGCUUAACACAUGCAAGUCGAACGGAAAGGCCCCUUUGGGGGUACUCGAGUGGCGAACGGGUGAGUAACACGUGAGUAACCUGCCCUUGACUUCGUGAUAACUUCAGGAAACUGGGGCUAAUACCGGAUAGGAAUCCUUGCUGCAUGGUGGGGGUUGGAAAGCUUCGGCGGUUUUGGAUGGACUCGCGGCUUAUCAGCUCGUUGGUGGGGUAGUGGCUUACCAAGGCUUUGACGGGUAGCCGGCCUGAGAGGGCGACCGGCCACAUUGGGACUGAGAUACGGCCCAGACGCCUACGGGAGGCAGCAGUGGGGAAUAUUGCACAAUGGGCGGAAGCCUGAUGCAGCAACGCCGCGUGCGGGAUGACGGCCUUCGGGUUGUAAAACGCUUUCAGCAGGGGCGAAGCUUGUGGUGACGGUACCUGCAGAAGAAGCACCGGCUAACUACGUG
Molecule: ribosomal RNA, 465 nt
Filed under: uncultured bacterium
Lineage: Bacteria
Description: partial 16S ribosomal RNA
Rfam family: Bacterial small subunit ribosomal RNA
Source: RNAcentral